GACGAACCGUCCAAACGUUAUUCGGAAUCACUGGGCUUAAAGGGCGCGUAGGCGGGCUAUCAAGUCCGGGGUGAAAUCCUCUAGCUUAACUAGAGAACGGCCUCGGAUACUGAUGGUCUCGAGGAAGAUAGGGGCAUGCGGAACUGGUGGUGGAGCGGUGAAAUGCGUUGAUAUCACUAGGAACUCCGGUGGCGAAGGCGGCAUGCUGGAUCUUUUCUGACGCUGAGGCGCGAAAGCCAGGGGAGCGAACGGG
RNAcentral lists this ribosomal RNA (253 nucleotides) under uncultured bacterium. RNAcentral describes it as "partial 16S ribosomal RNA". It matches the Rfam family "Bacterial small subunit ribosomal RNA", at positions 524 to 776 of the family's 1533-position model. The record is from RNAcentral.